CUCAUCUGCUGGUGAUGAUUCUUGAUCGAAGCUCUUGCGAGUACAGAAGUCAAAAUCGAUGCUGCUCACAGAGUUUGAUCGAAGGGGGCGUUGCUCAACAGGAAUAAUAUCUGAAAGACACAGAUCAUGAGAAAAAGAAAUUCUUGGACUGAUACCAGCAGAAUUAUCUGAACAUAAUUCAAUUGCCAUUUCUUCAACUUCUUCAAGAAAAC
This 212-nucleotide unclassified non-coding RNA is filed under the name Hevea brasiliensis (rubber tree). Lineage: Eukaryota; Viridiplantae; Streptophyta; Magnoliopsida; Malpighiales; Euphorbiaceae. The record is from RNAcentral.